CGCCUCUGUUAUCUAUAGCCAUACCUACAUCUGCAUCUAUAUCCGUCUCUUGUUGAAACCCACACUAGAAGGGGACUGUGUCUGUGAGCUCCUUAAAGAAAGAGUCUUACUGCUUCCCGUAUCUCACCCACCAGGGAGCAGGUAUGGCUGCCCAAAGGUUGGGCCUGGAGAGGACUGAGAUCUGUAGUUGGUAGAUCCAGAACAAAUGAUAGGAUUUUCUGGCUACAUUUGGUUCAGGAGUGGAUUGGUGGAAAGCAAGACAGUGUCUGGGAUCAGGGAUCAUUCUUGCAUGAAGGUCUACACAGUCACAGGCUCCAGACUCAGCUCUGCCGACGGACUGGAGACCACUUCUCCUACUUCGUCAGAGGGCCUCUGACACCACGUUGUAAGAAAAGGUCAGACUCAGCUCCCGAGGAGGCUACAGUGACAGCUGUGAUUGUCAUGGGCCUGUGGAUGCUUCCACUUUGCUCAUUCAAUCACUCAUUCAUUUCUUCAUUCAACAAAUGUUUAUUGAAUGUCUACUACGUGCCAAGGACUGGUUCAAAAUACUGGUGACAGAAUGAUAGAAAUUUAUUGAGCCGUUUCCUCAAUGCCUGGAAUGGGGCUGAAGGUGAGGAAUGGGGUAAAUGAUAGUGAUGAAUACGACCAGUCCUGGCAGUGCUUCUCAGACUUUUCCAUGAACCACUCUGAUGGUUAAGGACACUGAAGGAGAAUGGGAGACCUGCACUUCAAUUUUUAUUUACUUUUAUGUGUUCCUGGCGUAGGGCCACAAGGUUUUCCAUCAACAGAAAUGGCUGCUGAUUGAAGCUUUCUGCCCAGCACUGGAGAGAGACCCAUUCUCCAAAGCAGAUUGAUCAUUUCUCCUGCCGAUAAAGGGACAGUAUUCUACCCAGUGGGUUUGGCCCCUGACCUAAGAAAUAUAUGGAUGCAUCAAAAUUCCCUGAGCUGACAACUUGGAUGAACUCUGGAGGCUGUAAAUCUGCAAAGGCAGAGAGGGGCCAGGCAGGCCUGUGCGAGAGGGCUCUCCCCUCAUUUAGUGUGCAUCAACCACCAUGAUGGCCGAGCAAUUCCUUGUCUGCUUUUUACCCAACAUAAUUUGCAAAUUGAUUGUUCUUCCUUGGAAGUCUUUCUUAAUUAAAUAGUAACUGCAGUUACUACCCUCAGACAAAGGGGACAUGUUAGUGUCCUGGCAGAGCACAGCCUUAGCUCAGUGAAUUUACGUUUGCUGAAGUGCCCAUCAUGGACUCAUGUGCAGAACUCUACUGCAUGGCUCCUUCUAGAGGAAUGAGACUGCACUCCUUGCCCACAAAGAGCCAGAAUAAGCCCUUUACCACUGGGGCAAAGAGCUCUAAACAGAGACAAAUGGAUGCCCUCUGGGCCCACACUUGAUUCCAGGGACUGUGGGAGAAUCAGCCUUGACUGUCGUUGACUGCGUGCCUAUGUGCCUGGCACUGUGUUGGGCCCUUUCACACGAACCAUCUCAUUUAAUCUUCAUAACCCAAAGAAGGAGGGGCAGUUAUAUCUAUUUUCCAAAGAAGCAACUGAAGGUCAGCAACUUGCUCAACAUCAUGUAGCUAGUAAGGAGCUUGAGCCUUGGGCAGACUCCAUCCACACCUCCUGUGCCCCCUGCAUGCCCUGCCACAAGCUGAGUGUGAAACCCUUCCACUUCAUGCUGCUGUUUUAGAGUCCCUGUGAGUUGGUGUAGUCAUGAUGAAAACUAUCCUUGAACUCAAAUUACUGCUGCUUUUGUGGCUGCUGCUUGUGAUCUGGCCGUGAUUGACUUGAU
This 1786-nucleotide long non-coding RNA is filed under the name Equus caballus (horse). RNAcentral describes it as "lncRNA (ENSECAG00000031710.3)". Lineage: Eukaryota; Metazoa; Chordata; Mammalia; Perissodactyla; Equidae. The record is from RNAcentral.